GAAAAUGGAACGGUCGAAAAUUCGCACUAUUAUAAAGUAUGAGUUCUUACGUGGAACUACGAAAUAGACGCGUGAAACAUUAACAGUGUAUUUGGCUCUAGUGUAACUAAACAGCAGACAGUAUCAAAUUGGUUCGCCAAAUUUCGUACAGGUUAUUUCGACCUCAACGAUGAGCCACGCGUUUGCUCAGAAUCAAAGGUUAUCGCACCUGUCCAGCGCAGGUGAGAUUCGUUAUGAUUUUAUGAAACCUGGCUCACCGAUCACAGCAGAAAUAUACUGCAACCAACUGCACGAAAUGAUGCAAACACUUAAAAAAAACAGCCUAGAUUGGUCAACAAAUCGACUCCCAUCUUAUUGCAUGAUAACGUUAGAUCGCACACUGCACAAACGACUGUGGCAAAACUACAGGAAUUGGAGUUGGAAGUUCUUCAUCACCCUCCAUACUCGUCGGACCUAGCCCCCACUGUCUGUCACUUGUUCCACAAUUUGAACAAUUUUUGAAUAGGAAAACAAUUGAAUUCCGACAAUGCUGUAAAACUGGUCUUCCAGAAUUUCAUUGACCCUCGUCCGCCAGGGUUUUAUAUCACCGGCCUGAACAACCUGCCGCUUAAAUGGCAAAAGUGCAUAGACAAUAUGGGUGCAUACUUUGAUGAAUAAAAUAAUUCCACGUA
Megalopta genalis is the source of this 671-nucleotide non-coding RNA. Lineage: Eukaryota; Metazoa; Arthropoda; Insecta; Hymenoptera; Halictidae. The record is from RefSeq and is a predicted model, not a curated record.